CACGUAGGGUGCGAGCGUUGUCCGGAAUUAUUGGGCGUAAAGAGCUCGUAGGCGGCUCGUCACGUCGGCUGUGAAAACCCGGGGCUCAACCCCGGGCCUGCAGUCGAUACGGGCGAGCUAGAGUUCGGCAGGGGAGACUGGAAUUCCUGGUGUAGCGGUGAAAUGCGCAGAUAUCAGGAGGAACACCGGUGGCGAAGGCGGGUCUCUGGGCCGAUACUGACGCUGAGGAGCGAAAGCAUGGGGAGCGAACAGG
This 253-nucleotide ribosomal RNA is filed under the name uncultured bacterium. RNAcentral's name for it is "partial 16S ribosomal RNA". It matches the Rfam family "Bacterial small subunit ribosomal RNA", at positions 524 to 776 of the family's 1533-position model. The record is from RNAcentral.